CACACACCCCGGAGGGGAUUCAGGAGAUGGCUCCGUGGGUGGAGGGUGGCUGAACCCAGAGCUUUGUCCCCAUGGCUCCCAGUCCCUCCCUCCUGGGACUCUUCUUUGCCAGUUCCUCAAAGCAAGACCAGAUACAAAAUGCACUGCAAAUGGAGGUACAGAACCCCGUCUCCAGAGUGUCUUGUCUUUGCCAGAUUGAAGCCAAAACUAAACAGCACAAAGGACUCCUGAGGCCCCUCCCCUCCCUGAGGACCUCCCGGUGGCUAAUGGUUGGGGAGAGUGAGUGGCCAUUUUCUCUAGUGUUUCAGCCACGAGUGGGUUGUACAUGGUCCCGUGAGUAACCUCCCACCCUUGCUCCUGUGAUGGAACCCAGUGGGUCACACAAAAUCCAGGUUAAAUUUAAAUCCUUUCAAAGGAGCCAGCGAGAUAAAUCCACAUGUAAAGUUAUUUCCACAUAAGCCUGACAAGAAUUCAACCCCCAGAACCCACACAAGGCCGAGAGAGCACAGCUGCUCACAUCUGUAAUCACAGCAUUCCAAGGGGAGAUGGGAGGUAGGGACAGGUGCUUCCUAGAGUGCACAGUAGCUGAUGAUCACAGCAGCUUGGCAGAAACUGUUUACUCAGCAAGGAGGAAAGAGAAGACCUACUCCUAAAGAUGGUUCUCUGACCUCCACAGGCAUGGUGUGGCCCAUGUGCACGCAGACACACUCGUGUGUGCGCACAUGCGCGCGCGUGCACACACACACACACAUGCACAUGGAAUAAAAACGUUUUAAACAUAA
This 782-nucleotide long non-coding RNA is filed under the name Mus caroli (Ryukyu mouse). RNAcentral describes it as "lncRNA (MGP_CAROLIEiJ_G0005282.1)". The record is from RNAcentral. Lineage: Eukaryota; Metazoa; Chordata; Mammalia; Rodentia; Muridae.